CAACAGUACGUGAAACCGCAUAGAGGUAAACGGGUGGAUCCGCAAAGUCGGCCCGCGGAAUUCAGCUCGGAAGGCUGCGCGCCUGCCGCCGGGUAGGAGAUCGCAAGACUCUCCCGGCGCGGGACGCGUGUCGGCCGUGUGCACUUUCCGUGGGCAGAGCGCCACGACCGGUUUCCGGGCGGUCAGAAGGCGGCGAGGAUGGUAGGCGCGCGCCUCGGCGCGCGCUGGUAUAGCCUCGCCUGUCCCGAUCCGCCUGGGGACCGAGGAGCCGCCGUGGGCUGGGGCCGCCUCGCCCUCCCGGGACGUUCGACUGGCAGAGACUGGGUGACCGUGUCUGCCGACCGCUUCCUGGGACGGACUGGGGUGGGCCCGCCCUCACAGGGUCAGUGGCGAAUCGGUCGGCCCUCCACCCGACCCGUCUUGAAACACGGACCAAGGAGUCUAACAUGCGCGCGAGUCGUUGGGUCGUACGAAACCCGAAGGCGAAGUGAAAGCGAGGGCCGUCUCUGACGUGCUCAGGUGGGAUCCCGGUCCCUCCGCGGGCUGGGCGCACCACCGGCCCGUCUCGUCCGCGUUGU
Molecule: ribosomal RNA, 578 nt
Filed under: Lophiotoma acuta
Lineage: Eukaryota; Metazoa; Mollusca; Gastropoda; Neogastropoda; Turridae
Also listed under: 1 other name
Description: eukaryotic LSU rRNA
Source: RNAcentral